RNAcentral lists this long non-coding RNA (376 nucleotides) under Brassica napus (rape). RNAcentral describes it as "long non-coding RNA (BNAP_LNC016331)". The record is from RNAcentral. Lineage: Eukaryota; Viridiplantae; Streptophyta; Magnoliopsida; Brassicales; Brassicaceae.
GGUUUAGGGUUUAGUGAUUAAGAUUUAGGGUUUAGUAUUUGGAAGGUGGGGGUUGAGGUUUGGGUUUAGUGACCGUAUUAUGUAUGUUCCAUUUGACGAUUAAUAAAGAAUGUUCUUUUUUGCUCACCAAUUUUUACUAUACUAUGUAUUUUGCUCCAUUCUAUUUGGUUUUAGAGUCUAUACUUGGGUUUAGGGUUUAGUAUUUAGAAGGUGAGAGUUUAGGUUUGGGUUCAGUGAUAGCAUUUUUGGGUUUAGUAUUCAAAAGUUAGGUCUGAGUUUAGCAUUGAGGAGUUGUGUGUUGGAUUGGAGUCCUAUACUAUUCAAAAAUUAAGUUUGGAUUUAGUUUAAUAUUACAUAAUAUUAUAUACUAUUUUCA